This 402-nucleotide ribosomal RNA is filed under the name bacterium. RNAcentral's name for it is "partial 16S ribosomal RNA". It matches the Rfam family "Bacterial small subunit ribosomal RNA", at positions 355 to 776 of the family's 1533-position model. The record is from RNAcentral.
UGGGGAAUUUUGCACAAUGGGUGAAACCCUGAUGCAGCGACGCCGCGUGAUUUAGAAGGCCUUCGGGUUGUAAAAAUCUUUUCUAUGGGAAGAAAAUGACAGUACCAUAGGAAUAAGGACCGGCUAAUUACGUGCCAGCAGCCGCGGUAAUACGUAAGGUCCGAGCGUUGUCCGGAAUCAUUGGGCGUAAAGGGUACGUAGGCGGGUAAGCAAGUUAGAAGUGAAAUCCUAUAGCUCAACUAUAGUAAGCUUUUAAAACUGCUCAUCUUGAGGUAUGGAAGGGAAAGUGGAAUUCCUAGUGUAGCGGUGAAAUGCGCAGAUAUUAGGAGGAGUACCGGUGGCGAAGGCGACUUUCUGGCCAUAACCUGACGCUGAGGUACGAAAGCGUGGGUAGCAAACAGG